CUUUACUCUAGCUUGGCACUGAGUCGUACAUAUAUUUGUGCAGGAUAGGUGGGAGACUAUGAAAGAUAGACGCCAGUUCAUCUCGAGUCGUCGUCGAGAUACCACCCUUGUAUAUGUAUGCCUCUAACCCCUUUUUGGGGGACCGUGCUUGGUGGGGAGUUUAACUGGGGCGGUUGCCUCCUAAAACGUAACGGAGGCGCACAAAGGUAGGCUAGGUCCGGAUGGAAAUCGGACUGGUCGUGUAUUCGCACAAGCCUGCUUGACUGAGAGACCUACAAGUCGAUCAGAGACGAAAGUCGGUGAAAGUGAUCCGGCACCAACAUGUGGGAGUGGUGUCGCUCAACGGAUAAAAGUUA
RNAcentral lists this ribosomal RNA (356 nucleotides) under uncultured organism. RNAcentral describes it as "bacterial LSU rRNA". It matches the Rfam family "Bacterial large subunit ribosomal RNA", at positions 2099 to 2465 of the family's 2925-position model. The record is from RNAcentral.